CGUAGGUAACCUGCCUGGUAGCGGGGGAUAACUAUUGGAAACGAUAGCUAAUACCGCAUAACAGCAAAUGUUGCAUGACAUUUGCUUAAAAGGUGCAAUUGCAUCACUACCAGAUGGACCUGCGUUGUAUUAGCUAGUUGGUGGGGUAACGGCUCACCAAGGCGACGAUACAUAGCCGACCUGAGAGGGUGAUCGGCCACACUGGGACUGAGACACGGCCCAG
Molecule: ribosomal RNA, 223 nt
Filed under: uncultured bacterium
Lineage: Bacteria
Description: partial 16S ribosomal RNA
Rfam family: Bacterial small subunit ribosomal RNA
Source: RNAcentral